Long non-coding RNA from Passer domesticus (house sparrow), 3411 nucleotides. RefSeq lists it as uncharacterized. The record is from RefSeq and is a predicted model, not a curated record. Lineage: Eukaryota; Metazoa; Chordata; Aves; Passeriformes; Passeridae. The transcript has 7 exons.
GGGGGAGCGGCGCCGCCCCAGCCGCCGUCACGAGACCGCGGUUGUCCAAUCAGCGCUCGCCUCUCUCCGGGCUCUUCCGCAAACUCCACUGGUCCCGCCCCUUAAAGGCGAAGGGUUUUUCCCUUAAAAAAAAAAGAAAAAAAAAAAAGGCUCCUUCUUCCUGCCCCGCCCCACACGCUCUUAUCUGUCGGCCCAAAAGUGCGCGGCGUAGGCCUGGGGGAGCCUGGCCUGACCCUGUGGCCCCCCCGGUCUGCUGCGCUACGCGGUGCCUGCUGCCCGGCCCGGUGGGCUGAGGCGCCGCCGGGAAGAGCGCGGUUCUUUCGCCGCCGCCCUCCCUCCUCCCCUCCCGGCCGCCGGCUCCCGGCCGGUUCCCCGCGGCGCCGGCGGGCGGGGCGCGCCUGCCGCCGGUCCCGGGCCGUGCUGCGCCACAGACAUGGCAGCCCAGGCCGGCAGCCGCCGGCCAGCGAGCAAAGAGGCUGGGGAGCGAGGUCCGCACCCCGAGGCGAGCGAGUGGAUAUGCGAAGCACACAAUCGCAGAAUAAAUUAGAUUAGAAAAGACCUCUGAGAACAUCGAGUCCAACCUGUGACCGAACGCCACCAUGUCAGCCAGACCAUGGCGCUGAGUGCCACGUCCAGUCUUUCCUUAAACACCCCAGGGACGGAGACUCCCGCACCCUCCCGGGCAGCUCCCAAUGCCUAACUGCCCUUUCUGUGAAUAAAUUCCUCCCAGUCUGGGGGCGCUCGCUACUGCCCAUCCCGGGGGUGCCCAGAGCCGCCUCAGGCUCCCGUCGGCGUUACAAAACAAACAAAAACCCCCAAACGCCACGCUUUUACGCCAAAGGGGAAAUAACCCCCAAGCCCCGCUCCCUGCCAGAGCCCCGCGUGUGGCGGGGAUGGCGCAGGGCCCGGUGUGAGGGAUGGCAGAGCCCUGACAGCGCUCCCGCCCCUCAGAGGGGCUGUCGCAGGCACAGGUGGCACUGGCGCGGUCCUUCGCCAGCCUCUCAGCCGCCCCAGAGGUUACGGGCCCGCCGCGGGUUCUCCUCAAAUCUCUGAGGGCUCAUCCGUGAGGAAAUGCCCCAGCCCGGCAUUUCCCUUCGGUGCGUUCGGACUCCGCCGGGCCGCAGACCAUUACGAGUUAGCAGUGGAAGGGAAAUGCAGGCACGUGCAUGUUUUUGAUGGAGAAUCAGGGGGUGUUGAUCCAAAGCCGGACAUUUGCGAGGAGGACUUCCCUUGCCGCUCGCCCUCAGGGCUGAGCUCUCUGCAAUCCACGUAGGAGCCGCAGCAGGUAUUUGGGAAGAGCCUAGACUAAACACAGAAUCAAUACUGCAGCCUACGAGAGGAGCCUACAGACAGGAGGAGAUUCACAGCCCUAUGUUUGUGUUGCUUUCCUGGGCCUGCCAGCAAGAAAGCUGAGGUGGAGGAUGAGUCUGAUGUCCUGGAAAAGCCGCAGAGUCAGACUGAGCGAGCACGGGUGUGGCAGAGCUUUUCAGCUCCUCUUGCUGCACACAGCCUUUUCACAAAGGCAGAGCUGGGACUCGUCUGUAUUUCUCUUCCUGCUGUCCUUCUGAUCACCAUUCUGCAUGUAAUUGUGCCCACGGACUAAAUACCUUGAAGCUCAUACUUUCCAGGAGAUGCACAUCACCUUGUCUUCUUCAAGCCUCUGUAUGGUUUAUACUGCAGCUGAUCCCAAAGUACAAGUGAGAGGAAAAACGGUGGUGGAAAUCCAAGGAAAGAAGGAAGCCAAGGCAGCUCUGACAGCUUUUAUGUCUCCUCCUAAAGUUGCCAUGGACAGAUGGGGGGAAGCACCUGUAUCCACGUCUGUCACUCACAGCAGUUUGGAAUGGGGGUAAGAGGACCUACCCCCCCAAACCCAAGCCAUUUUCCUGAAUGAGCUGUUGGAGGUCCUUGGUGCUGCCUCCCACAGCCCCCUCCUGGCUCAGCAGAGCUGGUGGCACCGGUCUCCUCCAGCAGUGCCUGCAAGUGUAUGGGAAGCAGGCAGAGGCAAGGCUGGGGAAAUGGGGAGGUGCAGAGCAGGGUGGAUGGACCAAGUGUACAGAACAGAGAGAGAAAAUUGAAACCCCAUAGAGGGAACCCUUCCUUCUCUUGCAAGGCACUUUGAAGGGUAGUUUUAAAAGACUCCUCCAGUGGACUGAAGAAGAUAUGCUCGAGGUACAAGCACAUAUUUCUUUCAGGAAGUGUGGAUCUGGUCGAGAGGCACUGAACAGGCAGGAAAAACACUAAGAUGAUCCUCUCAUGCCAGGACCCACUGGGAAAAAAACAAUAAUGUUCCUUGUCGCCUAAUGCUGUGCAAAGAAGAGAAGAGGGAAAGGAGAAAGUAAAUGAGGCUGCCUCAUCUUCCAGGAGCUCCUUUUAUUGCUUCAGUAGAUGGCUGAUCAACAGUGACCUCAAAUCCAGGCCCACCAUCAUCACUUGUAGCUCCAUUCUGCCAACACAACCUACAGCACAGGACCAUUGCUAGGUAUGGCAGGAUGCAAAGACCUGAUGAGCUACCCCUUUUGUGUCCAAUGGAGAGAGGCUGGAAAGCUACUAAAAAAGGGAAAGGACAGACCAAUGCCCUGUUGUUGUGAAGGAGUCAAAUAGCAGAGAGACAAAACAGAACUUGCAGCACCUUGACUUCUGGGAUUAAAUGCAAUGUCAGCCCAGGCACAGCCUCAAGCAAAUGCACACAAAGCUACAGAGGAGAGGAAAAUGUUUCUGUCUCCAGCUAAAACAAAUAUGCUCAGGGAAAUAUGCACAGAUGAAAGAGAGAGGAAUCAGAACGAUGUAGCUGGACUCAAAACAAAGUUCUCAAGGAUAUAAACUGGACAAGUGGACUUUUCAUCUUGCAAUCUGUGCAGGAUACGUACUUUUGGAACUCCCAUUCCCUGUUGUCCAGCGGACAUACUUGGCGAGUUUUGAGCCAGCGAGAGAUGCAGUGGAAGUGGAAAGCGUGCUGGAAGACAAAGUUCAGAUCACAUAAUUUCAGAAUGUAUGAAUGCAUCUCAAUGAGAAAACUACCACUGAAAGCAUCGGGGUAAGAAGAGAGUAGCGAGAGUUUGCAGGCAAAGGUGGGGCCAACUGAUCAGUCAAUUAGGUGAUAAACACAAAGGAAUUGAUCCACAUUUUCAGCGAGGAGGAAACAUUAGUGAAACAGCAGCAGGGAGCCUGUUCCACAGUGCAUUCAGUGCUAACUGACUGACUUAUGAUGAAAGAGGGAGUGCAGAGUUUAGCAGCUGCCAAAAUUGGCAGAGCAGAUGCUGAUAAGAAGCAUAAUCAGAAAGAAAAGAGAGGAUUUCAGAGUGACUAGCAGGGAUGACAUAAAUGUAUACAUGCUGAAGGAAGCUUUCUGUCAGUUUGCAAGAGAUACCAGGGCCUGAAUAAAAAGGAAUUUGCAAAAUUAGAAAAAAAAAA